UGUACUUGCACAUUGAAUCUAUGCAUGUUUAUUGUAAGAUGCGCUGAUUUCCUUGGGUGACAUCAAACAAUCCCAGUCUGUUCAUGCAAUGGACUUCCACUUAUGGAAAUGGGGCUGGAGUAGGAGGAGAGGAAGGGAUGUUGCAGUGCGUUCUCUGGUACGAUGCUGGACACUGCCCUUGAGGAUUUACUUCAGAAGCAAGAAUGCACAGGAUUACAGCCUUAAGAUGAGACAAGCAAUAUACCACUACUAUGAAUUAGCUCAAUCUGGUACCAUAAAAAGAGAAGUGUCAGGGGGAUGACAUAUUGCUUGAAAUUACUUGACCAAGAGCUGUGAGAGAAACACCCCAUCAUACUAUACCUUUGGGAAAUGAUGGCAGCAAACUACAUUCCCAGGAGAAGUGCGUUCCAGCACUUCUCCUGGGAAUGAAAUCAAAGAUCCCCAAGAGAUGUUUGAACAUGGAAAUGAGUUACAAAGCGUUACUCUGGUUUGUUUUCAGAGGUACAGUUAAAUACACUUACUAAAGCCUCCACUUAUGAUGGCUAGUCUUUUCCAUCACAGAUGGAGCAAUUAUACUCGGUAAGUAAAGUUCAAAGACCUCUCCAAGGAGAAACAUGCUUCUUUGGGGAAGGAAAGUCCCAAGGGACUGAGAGUGAAUCAUUUAGUCAAAUGAGGCACAAUAAUUCCCAGGUGAUCACCUGUGCAGCUGUGACUCAUUUGGCUGCACCUGCUGAUGCCAAAUGGAUUUUCUCCUUUCAAAAAGGCUAUUUCUACCGUUUCCUCUAGAUGACAGGGCUGAUCCUUCAGAAAGUUUAUGGAGGUAAAUAUUGAAGUUCUCAGGAUAGGAAGAUCUUUUUACCUUCGGCCACUCCUUUUUCAGAGUUCCACAACAUGCAGAUUAUUAUUAUUUCUUUAGAAAAGGAUAAUAGUUAAUAAAUUAUAUUUCUUUGGUAUCUGUUCUCCUGGAUGUUGCCACCUUUUUACUGGCCCUGCUCCUGUGCUUUAUCAGUAGUCUC
Molecule: non-coding RNA, 1016 nt
Organism: Podarcis lilfordi (Lilford's wall lizard)
Lineage: Eukaryota; Metazoa; Chordata; Lepidosauria; Squamata; Lacertidae
Source: the annotation of a GenBank genome assembly